UAGUCAUAUGCUUGUCUCAAAGAUUAAGCCAUGCAUGUCUAAGUAUAAACUGCUUUAUACUGUGAAACUGCGAAUGGCUCAUUAAAUCAGUUAUAAUUUAUUUGAUGGUACUUACUUACUCGGAUACCCGUAGUAAUUCUAGAGCUAAUACGUGCGUACAUCCCGACUUCUGGAAGGGACGUAUUUAUUAGAUAAAAGGCCGACCGGGCUUGCCCGACUCGCGGUGACUCAUGAUAACUUCACGAAUCGCAUGGCCUUGCGCCGGCGAUGUUUCAUUCAAAUUUCUGCCCUAUCAACUUUUGAUGGUGGGAUAGAGGCCUACCAUGGUGGUAACGGGUGACGGAGAAUUAGGGUUCGAUUCCGGAGAGGGAGCCUGAGAAACGGCUACCACAUCCAAGGAAGGCAGCAGGCGCGCAAAUUACCCAAUCCUGAUACAGGGAGGUAGUGACAAUAAAUAACAAUACCGGGCCUUUGGUCUGGUAAUUGGAAUGAGUACAACCUAAACACCUUAACGAGGAUCAAUU
This 524-nucleotide ribosomal RNA is filed under the name uncultured eukaryote. RNAcentral's name for it is "SSU rRNA". It matches the Rfam family "Eukaryotic small subunit ribosomal RNA", at positions 21 to 549 of the family's 1831-position model. The record is from RNAcentral.